GGAGAAUUAGCCUAACUGGUAAGGCAGCGAUUUGCUAGGUCGCCGCGCUCCAAGCGCUUGAAGGUUCGAGUCCUCCAUUCUCCG
This 84-nucleotide transfer RNA is filed under the name Fibrobacter sp. Its description in RNAcentral is "tRNA-Ser". It matches the Rfam family "tRNA". From Rfam's summary of the family: Transfer RNA (tRNA) molecules are approximately 80 nucleotides in length. Their secondary structure includes four short double-helical elements and three loops (D, anti-codon, and T loops). Further hydrogen bonds mediate the characteristic L-shaped molecular structure. tRNAs have two regions of fundamental functional importance: the anti-codon, which is responsible for specific mRNA codon recognition, and the 3' end, to which the tRNAs corresponding amino acid is attached (by aminoacyl-tRNA synthetases). tRNAs cope with the degeneracy of the genetic code in two manners: having more than one tRNA (with a specific anti-codon) for a particular amino acid; and 'wobble' base-pairing, i.e. permitting non-standard base-pairing at the 3rd anti-codon position. Lineage: Bacteria; Pseudomonadati; Fibrobacterota; Fibrobacteria; Fibrobacterales; Fibrobacteraceae. The record is from RNAcentral.